This 427-nucleotide ribosomal RNA is filed under the name uncultured bacterium. RNAcentral describes it as "partial 16S ribosomal RNA". It matches the Rfam family "Bacterial small subunit ribosomal RNA", at positions 355 to 774 of the family's 1533-position model. The record is from RNAcentral.
GGGGGAAUAUUGCACAAUGGGCGCAAGCCUGAUGCAGCCAUGCCGCGUGUAUGAAGAAGGCCUUCGGGUUGUAAAGUACUUUCAGCGGGGAGGAAGGUGUUGAGGCUAAUAACCUCAGCAAUUGACGUUACCCGCAGAAGAAGCACCGGCUAACUCCGUGCCAGCAGCCGCGGUAAUACGGAGGGUGCAAGCGUUAAUCGGAAUUACUGGGCGUAAAGCGCACGCAGGCGGUCUGUCAAGUCGGAUGUGAAAUCCCCGGGCUCAACCUGGGAACUGCAUUCGAAACUGGCAGGCUAGAGUCUUGUAGAGGGGGGUAGAAUUCCAGGUGUAGCGGUGAAAUGCGUAGAGAUCUGGAGGAAUACCGGUGGCGAAGGCGGCCCCCUGGACAAAGACUGACGCUCAGGUGCGAAAGCGUGGGGAGCAAACA